Long non-coding RNA from Sinocyclocheilus grahami, 234 nucleotides. RefSeq lists it as uncharacterized. The record is from RefSeq and is a predicted model, not a curated record. NCBI's taxonomy places the organism in Eukaryota, Metazoa, Chordata, Actinopteri, Cypriniformes, Cyprinidae. The transcript is spliced from 3 exons.
GUUCCAAGACUUUCUCACUGAAGGAGGAUCCCCACCCGCAAACAGCAGGAAACGUAUGGCUUGGACAUUAUUUCUCUCUUUCCUAGCCUGAGAGACCAGUUUUCAACAAAGGGCUAUGAGCAUUUCUACGAUCCGGAAAAGGGAACAGAGUUCAUCUCCUGGCGCCUUAAAACUUUGUCAAGGAAGAACCCAAAACGUGUUUGCUUGGAGAUGACAAAGUGGAGGACCAAGUUG